This 306-nucleotide ribosomal RNA is filed under the name Amoebophrya sp. RNAcentral describes it as "SSU rRNA". It matches the Rfam family "Eukaryotic small subunit ribosomal RNA", at positions 595 to 906 of the family's 1831-position model. The record is from RNAcentral. Lineage: Eukaryota; Dinophyceae; Syndiniales; Amoebophryaceae.
UAGCGUAUAUUAAAGUUGUUGCGGUAAAAAAGCUCGUAGUUGGAUUUCUGCUGAGGAUGAGCGGUCCGCUCACUGAGCGUGUAUCUGCUUCAGCCUUGGCAUCCUCUCGUUAAUCGUUCCUGCGCUUGAUUGCGUGGGGCGAGUGGCGGGACUUUUACUUUGAGGAAAUUAGAGUGUUCACGGCAGGCUAUCGCCAGAAUACAUUAGCAUGGAAUAAUACUAUAGGAUUUUGGUCCUAUUUUGUUGGUUUCUAGGAUUAAAAUAAUGAUUAAUAGGGACAAUUGGGGGCAUUCGUAUCAACACGUC